Ostrinia nubilalis (European corn borer) is the source of this 338-nucleotide long non-coding RNA. RefSeq lists it as uncharacterized. The transcript is spliced from 3 exons. The record is from RefSeq and is a predicted model, not a curated record. NCBI's taxonomy places the organism in Eukaryota, Metazoa, Arthropoda, Insecta, Lepidoptera, Crambidae.
AUUUCAGCUGGUGCAACAUCACAAACUGGCUCUGGACGCGGCCGCUCCAAUAGUACUUCAACAGCAUAUUCGAGUGCGGUAUCCAGAUCUUCGAAGAAAGGACCUAAAUCAGAAACACAAGGAGACGAUGGUGGGCGGUAUAAAAGAAAUAGUGUUCCUUGUCUGGACGGACAUAAAGGGAAAGGAGAUGGAGGCAUAGGAGACGGUGGUGAUGGAGGAGGCAGUGGUGAAGGAGGCGAAGGAGGAGGGUCACCUCCUCCGUCAGGAGGAGGCGAAGGAGGAGACAGUGGAGAAGGCGGAGAUGAAGGCAAUGGAGGCAAUGAAGGCGAAGGAGGCAA